This is an RNA transcript of Drosophila mojavensis, 831 nucleotides long. RefSeq lists it as uncharacterized. The transcript has 3 exons. The record is from RefSeq and is a predicted model, not a curated record. Lineage: Eukaryota; Metazoa; Arthropoda; Insecta; Diptera; Drosophilidae.
GAGCGCUCCGUUAGCCGUAGUGCGCUGUGGGGCACAGUUUGCUGCUGUAGUGCUGUCGCACGCUGUUGCGUCAUGUUGUUAUUUGCAUUUGCGUCGCUGCUCAGCUGCUUGCUGGCAGCUCCACCUGGCAAGCCUUGUGGCGAGAACGAGGUGCUUGCCUGUCUGCCCUGCUACGAGGAGAGCUGCUCGGUGCCGUAUUACUCCGAAAAUCGCUGCUUCUACAUCUGUAAUCUGGACUGCGGCUGCAAGCCUGGCUACGUGCGCCACGAUAAAACCAAUCAGUGUGUGUCAAUGUAUGAGUGCAAUCGACUGUUCAAUUCGCAUGCAAAAUAGAUUAACUCUAUUAAACCGUGAGGCUUGACCGAAAACUUCUCGCAAGUUGUUUUUUUCUUGGUUGAGGCUAAAAAAGAGUGUGGCAAACGUUUCUAGCCAUGCGCCCAGUUCAGUUACCAUUCUAUUUGCUGCUCAUUUUAAGCUUGCUCGCAGAGCAGCCAGAGGCGGCAGAUCAGGAGGACCAGGCAGAUCAGGGAGAUCGGGCCAAUCAGACAGAAAAGUCAGAGGAGACAAAGGAGGCACAUGAAGAAGACGUCGCUGCGGCGGCAGCGGAGAAAGAGCUGAAUAACGACCCCAAUCCUUUUGAUGAGGCGGCGGAGAUUCUCGAACUACGAAGAAAAAUUCUUUGCGAACGCGAAAUCACGGGCGAGAUAUAUUUGUGUUUCUAAAAAAAAAAAAAACAAGAAGGAAUUUGUUUUUUUUUUAUGUUGUCUCAAAAAAUAAGCAAUAAACAAAAUCGUGUGUACGUCUACAAUUUUUUGUAGAUUCUUCAAUUUA